GACCUAGUGGCGGAAUGUACCGUGUCCGCAAAAUUUUAGAGAAGUCUGGGAUAAUUUGCGCGGGAGGCUCUGGUUCGAAUCCAGGCUAGGUCA
Mycena latifolia is the source of this 93-nucleotide non-coding RNA. The record is from the annotation of a GenBank genome assembly. NCBI's taxonomy places the organism in Eukaryota, Fungi, Basidiomycota, Agaricomycetes, Agaricales, Mycenaceae.